CCGAGACCGGCGUCUGGCGUCACCUCCCUGUGAUGUGGCCAUGCUAUGCAACGUGCCGGGGGGUACUCUUACUCAUCUCUUAGCCUCCGCCUCUUCCUCAGCGCUGGCCCUCACAGCCUCCUGGCUAAAGGGUCAGGCAGUGAUCAGGGCCUGGCCCACAGCGGGGACUCGACCGGGCAUGAAGAGUGGGACUGCAUCGUGGACCUCCUGCCUGGGUGGCCUCAGCCUCCUCCGUUCAGCAUUUACUGAGUACUUCAGCCUGGCAGGCACACUACAGCCUGCCUGCUCUUAAGAACACUGGAAAGCACUUCAGCACUACGCUUGGGGCCACUUAAAAUAGCGAAAUCACCAACAAAAAUGUGAAAAGCGUGGCACUAAACAGACCAUGAAAAGCACACUUGUUCAGUGUGAGCUGAAACAAGAAGGCAGAGCAUCGUGUGCUGGACUUCAGCCACACACGUGUGCACAGGAGGACUCAAAAUUUUCAGUGCUCUGCACAUGACUGAAAAGGACCGUGAAAGCGAG
Molecule: long non-coding RNA, 525 nt
Filed under: Equus asinus (donkey)
Lineage: Eukaryota; Metazoa; Chordata; Mammalia; Perissodactyla; Equidae
Description: lncRNA (ENSEASG00005038027.1)
Source: RNAcentral